CACCACCUCGCGGGACGCUCGAGCGGAAGCGGAGACCCUCGAUGUUGCAGCGCCUCGCAAACGCUACGGCGCGUCCCCACCGCGUAAGGCAACUCCGCCGAUAGCGCCGAAAAUAACUCCAUCCCAAUUGCCGUGAGCCGCUGGGGACGAAGAGUGAUCAGCUCAUAGCGAGGAAAGAGAGAGAUUAAAAAAAAAGAUGAGGUGGUGGAGGAGGAGGAGGAGGCUCCUAAGCUGGCAAUAGACGGGCUGCGGAUCCAACAGCACGUGGGUUUCCGAGGCAAGGUAGCGGAGGCGGGCUGCUGAAAGAAGGAACAAACGAAGCACGUACCCAAAGGCUGAGAUCGGGAGCCGCGCCUGCUAAUGCUGUUACCACUGGGAUGCCUCGUAGAUCCGAUCCCGGUGACUUUUCAAAGAGGGGAGAUUUGCGGCUGCCCGCAGGAUCAGAAAGACGGGAUAGGACGACGCGCCCUUCCUGGAUAUAAGCCAGACCUCAAUCCAUCCCCCCAACCCUCUUCGCUGGGGGUGCGGAGAGCACUAAAGGAUCACCUUUAGCACCAGCUGGGCCGGAUGAAGUCAUAACAAACCGCUUCGCGGUAAAUCGAAAUCUAACGUGGUAUUGAUUGUCUACACGGAAGGCUGCCGUAUGAGGUCCACCCGAAGGGUGUUUCUGCGCGUAGUCAUUUUACAGAAAGGGAAACGUAAGCAGAUUUUGGCUGCCUCACAAGCUGCACCUGCGGAGAUUUCCUCUUCUGCACAGCUGUUAAGGAUAUUAGAUCCCUGACUAGAAUUUCCCAGGGCAACUCUAUCCACACUGCCUGUUGCAGAAGCUCCUUAAUAUUUCAUCCCUUUCCUGGAAAUGCCAAGGAUUCGAAUGUGGGAUCCUUCUGCCCCCAACCCACGUGCCUACUGCUUAGGGGCUUCUAUUGCCUCGCCGCAUGAAGUUUCUCAAAACAUGAAGAACAUUUUCAUCCUGCAGAAAACCGCAGAUCAAGUUGGGGUUUGAGAAGUUUUUAUUUUUCUGUAGCAUUUAUAGUGCACUUUUUCUCCAGAGAGAUCAAGGUGGGACACACAGUUCUCCUGCCCUCCUUUCUUCUCCCCAGCAACCCUGUGUGGUUGGCUAGGCUGAGAGGA
This 1131-nucleotide long non-coding RNA is filed under the name Salvator merianae (Argentine black and white tegu). RNAcentral's name for it is "lncRNA (ENSSMRG00000005712.1)". Lineage: Eukaryota; Metazoa; Chordata; Lepidosauria; Squamata; Teiidae. The record is from RNAcentral.